RNAcentral lists this ribosomal RNA (253 nucleotides) under uncultured bacterium. RNAcentral's name for it is "partial 16S ribosomal RNA". It matches the Rfam family "Bacterial small subunit ribosomal RNA", at positions 524 to 776 of the family's 1533-position model. The record is from RNAcentral.
GACGUAGGGGGCCAGCGUUGUUCGGAAUUACUGGGCGUAAAGCGUGCGCAGGCGGUUCGUUAAGUCAGAUGUGAAAGCCCCGGGCUCAACCUGGGAACUGCAUUUGAAACUGGCGGGCUUGAGUGUGGCAGAGGGGGGUGGAAUUCCGCGUGUAGCAGUGAAAUGCGUAGAGAUGCGGAGGAACACCGAUUGCGAAGGCAGCUCACUAAGUCAUAACUGACGCUGAUGCACGAAAGCGUGGGGAGCAAACAGG